This 68-nucleotide transfer RNA is filed under the name Nanorana taihangnica (Taihangshan swelled-vented frog). RNAcentral's name for it is "tRNA-Ser". Lineage: Eukaryota; Metazoa; Chordata; Amphibia; Anura; Dicroglossidae. The record is from RNAcentral.
GAGCCUGUCUGGCGCACGUGGGUACUGCUAAUUCCUCACCACCAUGGUUCAAUUCCACGGCUCGCUCG